CUGUUCUGCCCUGCGUGGUGUUACAGUGAACCCGUAUAGACGAAAAUUGCAUUUACCAUUUAUUGCUUGACUAAUAAUAAAAACAUAGAAGAUUCUCGGUAACUCCGUGUCACCUUCUGUCCUGAUGCCAGAUUCGAUUGACGCAACGCUAACAAUUGGUGAAAAAUUGUCUGGCCGAUUGGCCAUUGCUUGUCGUCGGAUGGUGUGCCUCACAAAUCCUGACCGGUCAACUAAAAAACUUUGGAAUACAGACAACACGUGUGAAGUAUACGAUGAUGAAUGCAAUUUUGAAACUGAUCAGAUAAUUUGUGAUAUGACGGUAAAUGUAAUGUACUAAAUACUGGUUAUCAAGUUUGUUUGAAGUUAAUAAGUCAGGGACUAUUAACAUAGAUUAGAGUGACGAUUUUAAAUUGGAAUUUACCCUAAAUUCACCUUACAAUUUAACCCUAAUUUUGUUUAAAUUAAAUAAAAUAGAACGCAGUAGAAAUGACUAGUCAGAAGGCUGAGAAGGUGUUGAAAACAUUGAAAUCAACACUAGAAACUAACGAAGGUAAAGACAGAAAGGAAUGGAGGAAGAGAGGAAAGAAGUGGUAUAGGGAGUGGAUAGAGGAAGGUAGUAUUACUGCACCCAACAGACUCCCAGUCGACGGGGAGCCCGGUAGAAUAUUAGAAAUGCUGGAACGAAAAAUGGAAAAGACCUGUUCCGAGAAAAUUGUUUGUGUCAUUUAGAGGGAACAUAGCUUUGAGUCACUUUUCAAAAGCUGCUUAAAGUUCCUAAUACAUUUUUAAAAUUGUAUCGUAAAAGUUUUGUAAUAGUUCCCGGUUAUUGAUUUUGGUUUGAU
This is a long non-coding RNA of Oncorhynchus tshawytscha (Chinook salmon), 842 nucleotides long. Lineage: Eukaryota; Metazoa; Chordata; Actinopteri; Salmoniformes; Salmonidae. The record is from Ensembl.